CCUACGGGAGGCAGCAGUAGGGAAUCUUCCGCAAUGGACGAAAGUCUGACGGAGCAACGCCGCGUGAACGAUGAAGGCCUUCGGGUCGUAAAGUUCUGUUGUUAGGGAAGAACAAGUGCUAGUUGAAUAAGCUGGCACCUUGACGGUACCUAACCAGAAAGCCACGGCUAACUACGUGCCAGCAGCCGCGGUAAUACGUAGGUGGCAAGCGUUGUCCGGAAUUAUUGGGCGUAAAGCGCGCGCAGGCGGUUUCUUAAGUCUGAUGUGAAAGCCCCCGGCUCAACCGGGGAGGGUCAUUGGAAACUGGGAAACUUGAGUGCAGAAGAGGAAAGUGGAAUUCUAAGUGUAGCGGUGAAAUGCGUAGAGAUUUGGAGGAACACCAGUGGCGAAGGCGACUUUCUGGUCUGUAACUGACGCUGAGGCGCGAAAGCGUGGGGAGCAAAACGAGGUAUUAGACUACCCGUGGUAGUCCACGCUAGUAAACGAUGAGUGCUAAGUGUUAGACGGGUUUCCGCCUUUAGUGCUGUAGUAACGUACAUAAGUACACUCCGCCGUCGGGAGGUACGGUACGCGAGACGUAGUAACGUUAAAGUAGUUAAGUUAGUACGGUUCGUUGAGAGNGCGACGGACGACGACGAGGGAGGAGG
RNAcentral lists this ribosomal RNA (647 nucleotides) under uncultured bacterium. Its description in RNAcentral is "bacterial SSU rRNA". The stretch from base 1 to 553 matches the Rfam family "Bacterial small subunit ribosomal RNA", at positions 338 to 873 of the family's 1533-position model. The record is from RNAcentral.